GGUUAGAUAACAUAAUGGUAAUGUAUGAGAUUGCAAAUCUUAUAAUGACGGUUCAAUUCCGUCUCUAACCU
This is a non-coding RNA of Ostreococcus tauri, 71 nucleotides long. Lineage: Eukaryota; Viridiplantae; Chlorophyta; Mamiellophyceae; Mamiellales; Bathycoccaceae. The record is from Rfam.